GCCCCCAUCGUCUAGUGGCCUAGGACAGCGCCCUUUCACGGCGUCAACAGGGAUUCGAAUUCCCUUGGGGGCA
This 73-nucleotide transfer RNA is filed under the name Dehalococcoidales bacterium. Its description in RNAcentral is "tRNA-Glu". It matches the Rfam family "tRNA". From Rfam's summary of the family: Transfer RNA (tRNA) molecules are approximately 80 nucleotides in length. Their secondary structure includes four short double-helical elements and three loops (D, anti-codon, and T loops). Further hydrogen bonds mediate the characteristic L-shaped molecular structure. tRNAs have two regions of fundamental functional importance: the anti-codon, which is responsible for specific mRNA codon recognition, and the 3' end, to which the tRNAs corresponding amino acid is attached (by aminoacyl-tRNA synthetases). tRNAs cope with the degeneracy of the genetic code in two manners: having more than one tRNA (with a specific anti-codon) for a particular amino acid; and 'wobble' base-pairing, i.e. permitting non-standard base-pairing at the 3rd anti-codon position. The record is from RNAcentral. Lineage: Bacteria; Bacillati; Chloroflexota; Dehalococcoidia; Dehalococcoidales.